Long non-coding RNA from Acinonyx jubatus (cheetah), 2037 nucleotides. RefSeq lists it as uncharacterized. The record is from RefSeq and is a predicted model, not a curated record. NCBI's taxonomy places the organism in Eukaryota, Metazoa, Chordata, Mammalia, Carnivora, Felidae. The transcript is spliced from 4 exons.
GCUUCAGGGCGCAGUUUUAUUACGUAAUAAAUGCUGGACGUGGGGUUAAGUUCUCGCGGCGAAGUGGGCGGUGUCGGCGCCGAGGGCUGCUGGAGCGAGUGACGUCCGGAGUCUCCUUUUUAAGAAGUCUAAUGUAGUCGGGGGCACAGAAACAUUGAUCCCUUUAAUGUCUGGCUUAAUGAAAGGCAGCUUGGAUUUUUAUGUUCCCGCACUUAUUCUGUUAUGAUAUCACAUCAUGUAACUUCUGGAAAACUCUACUGUAACCUCAUGAAAGAACAAGAAACAGCACCUGUGUCUGCAGUAUCGCUACUCUGCAUCUGCUUUCUCGACUGCCAGUAAUCUUUUCCCCUUGUAGUACAGAUCUUGUUUCUCCAACUAGACUCUGAAGAGCUGGCCUCUUCCUUCUUCGAGAAAAUCAGAAUCAGGAGUAGUGCUGUGCUGGUAAAUGGCUGACAACUGGCCUCAAAGGACCCGAUUUAUAGCAUUUGCUAAUUCCCAUGGCGCAAAUACUCCCACCUGCCAAUUUCAAGCUACCAACAUGAAGUAAGGAUGGAAGCAGAGAUCAGAGGGUGAGAGGUUCUAUCUUGGCUUUGAAGAUGGAGGGAGGGGCCAUGAGCCAAGAAAGCAACCUUCGGUGGCCUCUGGAAGCAACCGAAGCCAAGGAAACGGAUUCUCUCCUAAAGCCUCCCAAAAGAAUACAGGCAUGUCAACCUGAGGUUAGCCCUGUGAAUUUGAUUUUGGAAUUCUGACCUCCCGAAGUAUAAGAUAGUAGAUUUGUGUUGUUUUAAGGAAAUAAGUUUGUGGUGAUUUGUUUAUAGCAGCAAUAGGAAACAAAUACACUGUUGUAAUCUAAGAUACUACCACCAUCUCUCACCUGCACUACUGAAAUAGAAUCCUAACCUGUCUCUCUGUGUCCAUCUUUUUCCUUUCCUUUAUUGUGGUAAGAACACUUAACAUGAGAUCUACCCUCUUCACAGAUUUUUAAGUGUGCAAGACAAUAUUGUUAACUAUAGGCACAAUGUUGUAUAGCAGGUCUCUAGAACUUACCCAUUUUGUGUAAUUGAAACUUUACACCCAUUGGUUAGCAACUCCCCGUGUCUCUUUCCUCGUCCCUGGCAACCACCAUCCCACUCUCUGCUUCCAUGAGUUUGACUGUUUUAGGUACCUCAAAUAACUCAGUGUUUGUCCUUCUAUGAUAGGCUUAUUUCACUUAGCAUGAUAUCCCAUGUUGUAAAAUACUGCAAAAUUUUCUUCUUUUUUAAAGGCUGAAUAAUAUUCCAUUGUACGUAUUCUCUAUGCAGUUCUUGAGUCCCUAAACAUCUUCCCCACAGCAGUGUGGGUGAUGAUUUCAAAUCCCCGCUCAAAACUGGCCAAAGGCUGGCUUUUCAUCCAUUUGGGAUAAAAUCCAGACUCCUUACCUUAGACUAUAAGGCCCUCUAUUGCCCUGGCUAACUGUCCAGCUAUGUUGAAUUGCUCUCGCCUUGUCCACCUCUCCAACCUCUCUGGUCCUGGCGCCUUUGCGGUAAUCAUUCCCACUGCCUAGAAUGCCCGCCAACUGUCAGGUGCCCAACUGUCUCUUUCACCUCUUCCAGAUCUUAACUUUCUCGUGUCCAGUUUGCCUUCAUUAAAUUAUAAACUCGGCGUGAGAACAGACAGCGUGUUCUGCACCUAAAGUGGGGUAGUUGGCUCCACUAAAAGAGGGAGCGACCACUAGAGAGUGUAGCCAGCGAAGGUUUCUCAGUGGUGUCUUGGUAGCUGAUGUUUGUAUUCUUUUUAGAGAGACCAGGGAAAAGGAUUCCCUAUCUGGUUUUGCAAAAGGUUGUUUUCUGACUUCUUUGGGUAAAGAGAUGGGUGGGAUUGUGGAUACAGAAUUGAGCCUAUUUUGAAAAGGCAGAAUGGUACCGGAGUUCACGUCUUUUCAAAAUGCUGUGUUUUCUAUUGGUGUUUUAGUUUUGUUCCUCCUUGUUAGAAAUUUCAGUAUUAUCUAGUAAGAAGAAACCAACUUUGAACAAAUAAUAUUCAGGAUGAAAAUUUUAG